UACAGAGGUGGCAAGCGUUGUUCGGAAUUACUGGGCGUAAAGGGCGCGUAGGCGGCCUGGUCAGUCCCGUGUGAAAUCCCUCGGCUCAACUGAGGAACUGCACGGGAAACUGCCUGGCUUGAGUUCGGGAGAGGGAAGCGGAAUUCCGGGUGUAGCGGUGAAAUGCGUAGAUAUCCGGAGGAACACCGGUGGCGAAGGCGGCUUCCUGGACCGACACUGACGCUGAGGCGCGAAAGCUAGGGAAGCAAACGGG
This 253-nucleotide ribosomal RNA is filed under the name uncultured bacterium. Its description in RNAcentral is "partial 16S ribosomal RNA". It matches the Rfam family "Bacterial small subunit ribosomal RNA", at positions 524 to 776 of the family's 1533-position model. The record is from RNAcentral.